AAUUGAACCAACUCAAUUGCCAAUACCACAGCGGAAAAUCUUGAUUUCUAUUUACAAAAUUUUAAAGUCAAAGUCAACCAAUUCAAAAGUUGAUGCCAAUUACAAGAAUCCCUAAUUUCUUUUACAGUAAACCUAACUUAAGUUAUUAUACAUAGCUUAAGCUUAAGUGAAACACACUUACCAAGUUCAAACCUACAGAAAUACACUACCCAGAAUACUAAAUUACAAA
This 229-nucleotide unclassified non-coding RNA is filed under the name Hevea brasiliensis (rubber tree). Lineage: Eukaryota; Viridiplantae; Streptophyta; Magnoliopsida; Malpighiales; Euphorbiaceae. The record is from RNAcentral.